RNAcentral lists this ribosomal RNA (492 nucleotides) under uncultured bacterium. RNAcentral describes it as "partial 16S ribosomal RNA". It matches the Rfam family "Bacterial small subunit ribosomal RNA", at positions 29 to 507 of the family's 1533-position model. The record is from RNAcentral.
AGUGAACGCUGGCGGUAGGCCUAACACAUGCAAGUCGAACGGCAGCACAGUAAGAGCUUGCUCUUACGGGUGGCGAGUGGCGGACGGGUGAGGAAUACAUCGGAAUCUACCUUUUCGUGGGGGAUAACGUAGGGAAACUUACACUAAUACCGCAUACGACCUUCGGGUGAAAGCAGGGGAUGUUCGGACCUUGCGCGAUUGAAUGAGCCGAUGUCGGAUUAGCUAGUUGGCGGGGUAAAGGGCCACCAAGGCGACGAUCCGUAGCUGGUCUGAGAGGAUGAUCAGGCACACUGGAACUGAGACACGGUCCAGACUCCUACGGGACGCAGCAGUGGGGAAUAGUAGACAAUGGGCGCAAGCCUGGCCCAGCCCUACCGCGUGGGUGAAGAAGGCCUUCGGGUUGUAAAGCCCUUUUGUUGGGAAAGAAAAGCAGCAGGUUAAUACCCCGCUGUUCUGACGGUACCCAAAGAAUAAGCACCGGCUAACUUCGUG